This 255-nucleotide ribosomal RNA is filed under the name uncultured bacterium. Its description in RNAcentral is "partial 16S ribosomal RNA". It matches the Rfam family "Bacterial small subunit ribosomal RNA", at positions 524 to 778 of the family's 1533-position model. The record is from RNAcentral.
UACGAAGGGGGCUAGCGUUGUUCGGAUUUACUGGGCGUAAAGCGCACGUAGGCGGAUUGCUAAGUCAGGGGUGAAAUCCUGGAGCUCAACUCCAGAACUGCCUUUGAUACUGGUGAUCUUGAGUCCGGGAGAGGUGAGUGGAACUGCGAGUGUAGAGGUGAAAUUCGUAGAUAUUCGCAAGAACACCAGUGGCGAAGGCGGCUCACUGGCCCGGUACUGACGCUGAGGUGCGAAAGCGUGGGGAGCAAACAGGGU